This 666-nucleotide long non-coding RNA is filed under the name Rattus norvegicus (Norway rat). RNAcentral describes it as "long non-coding RNA NONRATT006378". The record is from RNAcentral. Lineage: Eukaryota; Metazoa; Chordata; Mammalia; Rodentia; Muridae.
UCUUGGUGUGUGUGGCUUUGGGGUGGCCUCUGCCUUGCCUUAUGUGGGAGAUGAUCCCAGCCCAUGCUUUGUACCUUAAAUCUCUUCCUGUGUUACAAAGCCCUCUUGGAAAGCUCUUUAGCAUUUUCCUGCCACCUUGCUACAGAGAGGAAGCUACAGAGACAUGCGUCCCACGUCUAUGGCAAGGCUGUAUAGAUCAGAGUUUGGGAUAUUCAUGUUUCUGGUGACAAAAGCACAUUACCUAAGCCUCUAACCUGAGCCAAAAGAAAGACUGGGCUGGGAAGGACCACCUAUGGACACAUCACCUUGGCUCCUGUAGCUAAUGAGCUGAUACGCUAUGUCUGCUUGCAGAUAGUCUGGGCUGGAAGCUCUUCUAUGUCACAGGCUGCCUCUUUGUGGCUGUACAGAACUUGGAGGACUGGGAGGAGGCCAUUUUCAACAAGAGCACUGGGAAGGUCAUCUUAAAAACAUUCAGCCUCUACAAGAAGCUGCUGACUCUUCUCAGAGCGGGCCAUGAUCAAGUGGUGGUCCUGUUGAAAGACAUCCAGGAUGUGAAUGUGGAGGAGGAAAAGGUCCGUUACUUUGGGAAGGGCUACAUGGUGGUGCUCCGGUUUGCAACAGGCUUCUCCCACCCCCUUACUCAGAGUGCAGUCAUGGGCCGACGCA